GACUACCAACUAAAGGUGUAACAACAAGCCUCCUGACUGCUGCUUCUCCUCCUCCUCCCUCCCCUCUAUUUAUCCAUGAACCCCCAAACCUGCCCUCAACUUAUACAUACAUGAGGUCAAUUUAUAUAUGUCUGUACAAAAACAAGCAUCCUGACUGCUGCUUCUCCUCCUCCUUUCUCCCCCUCUGUUUAUCCAUGGGCCCCAAACUUGCCCUCGACUUAUACGUACAUGAGGUUGAUUUAUACAUGAAUAUACAACAACAAGCCUCCUCUGCUGCUUCUCCUCCUCCUCUCCCCCCUCUAUUUAUCCAUGGGCCCCCAAACCUGCCCUCGACUUAUACAUACAUGAGGUAAAUUUAUACAUUAAUAUACAAUAACAAGCCUCCUGACUGCUGCUUCUCCUCCUCCUCUCUCCCCCUCUAUCUAUCCAUGGGGCCCCAAACCUGCCCUCAACUUAUACGUACAUGAGGUCAAUUUAUACAUGAAUAUACAACAACAAGCCUCCUGACUGCUGCUUCUCCUCCUCCUCCCUCUCCCUCUGUUUAUCCAUGGGCCCCCAAACCUGCCCUCGACUUAUACAUACAUGAGGUAGAUUUAUACAUUAAUAUACAACAACAAGCCUCCUGACUGCUGCUUCUCCUCCUCCUCACUCCCCCUCUGUUUAUCCAUUGGCCCCCAAACCUGCCCUCGACUUGAAAUCGAUUUAUACAUGAGUAUAUACUUCUUCCUCUUGCUUUCUUUUUGGCACCAAACUUAUUUGAAAAGCUAGCAACAUAUCUCCUAAUUGAGGAAGGCUAGAAAUGAGUUAUCUUCCUCAUCAGGGAGGAGGGGCAAUAGUUCUGUUCACAUCCCAUUAUAAGCAACAAAACACGCUGGAUAUCAAAGGGAAAUUUAUGUAAUGUAUUCCUGCAUUGUUGAGGGCGCACCAUCAUGUUUUAUGCAAGUGGAAGCAGCAAGGAGCUUUUCACCCUCUCUACUUUAAUAGGAAGCAAAGCAACAAUAAAACAACAAAUGGGGAAACUGGCAGAGGAUAAACCCUUUAUGGGGAGCUGGACUGCAGCGCUUGUUAAGGGAGGCCAACAUCGACAGAGCAGUUUUGAAGCAGAAAAAGCAAAACGGAGUUUGAACAGCAAUUAAUUUACCAUUUGGAAAUCCCUUCUCAAGCCUGGGGUUGUGCCGGAAACCUUCUGAUCUAUAAUGCUACCUCUGUAUCAGCUGGACUUUUACACGUGGCUGACAAAUUCCUCUUUCUUUAUAUACUUUCUAAGUCUUACAGGUGAUUUUAUGGUAUGCUUUCACUAGAUGUUGACUGUGGAUCAUGAUGGAGGACCUAGUGAUAUUUAAUGGUCCUCUCUAGGCAUUUCCUAGGUCCUCCAGCAUGACUCUAUGGUAAGCUUCCACUGGAAGUUGUGUGUCCAUUUACCAUGGUUUUUUGGCAGAGCUCUUUCCCAGCAUUCUUCCAUAUCUUCUUGCGUAGCACUGUGCUGAAAGAUUUCUUGGUGUCUAAACUCCGGUGGCUCAGUGUGUUAAAGCGCUGAGCUGCUGAACUUGCUGACCGAACGGUCCCAGGUUCAAAUCCGGGGAGCGGAGUGAGCGCCUGCUGUUAAGCUCCAGCUUCUGCCAACCUAGCAGUUCGAAAACAUACAAAUGUGAGUAGAUCAAUAGGUACCGCUCCAGUGGGAAUGUAACGGCAUUCCAUGCAGUCAUGCCAGCCACAUGACCUUGGAGGUAUCUACGGACAAUGCUGGCUCUUUGGCUUAGAAAUGGAGAUGAGCACCAAUUCCCAGAGUCGGACACGACUGUACUUAAUGUCAGGGAAAACCUUUACCUUUACCUAAACUAUCAGAAAUAAUCAGACAGAUGUUAUGGUUGAGCCUCAUGGCUCUGCUACUGGGAGACGUGGGCGUAAGACUCCUCGAGAGUCAGAUACUCUCGAGGAGCGAGAAAGAAAGCGGCUGCGAGAUAUCUUUGCAGAACCAUCUGACGAGGAUUAUUUUGAAGGGUUUACUGAGAGAAUGGAGGAAGAGAUGGUUAGCUCGGAAGAGGAUGACAUGGAAUGGACUCGUGUAAGGGAGGAUUUGGGUGCCACUGGCAAUAAUAGUAUGGAAGGCGAUUGGGGACCUUCAGGAUUAGAUCCAUGGGCAAGCUGGAGGGAUGGGACGGGAUCCACAGCUGGGGAUGCUGUGGGGCGUAGUCAGAGGUGUUCCAGUUCUGAUGAGGAAAGUGAUGAGGAAACGCCCGGGCUAAGGAGGGCAGCUGAUAGUGAUGAGGACUUGUAACUGGCAUAAAAUGGGGUUUGGGAGCAAUAGCAAAUUGCGUUGGGCAAGGUAAUCUGGACGAACGCUUGGGAUCUGUGUGGGAAGUUUUCCUGAAGACGGGUGUGAUUCGUUUGCUGACUACCUUUGACCUUCCGUCGUCUUCUUGACGGACGCCAUCUGCUUGUACUGGACAUACGGACUGCUUGACUACGGCUUCGGAUACUCCUACCUGUAUUGGACCUGGUGAACUACAAACGUCUGCAUCUACCUUACGACCUUCGGAACGGAUUGGGACCUCACUGACUGCUUAAGCCCUCGUCUGCUGUGUUUGUAUUGGGAAUCUGCCUGCUGUGUGGAGGAGUAACCUUUAAAGUUACUCAAAACAUAGUUUUGGCAGCAGAGAAGCAUCUGCUGCCAAUUAGUUGCAUUCCUUUGAACUCUUUGUUCACCAGCUUCUGUUUUGUUUAUUCCCAGGCUGAAGCAAGCUGUUUUGAUUUUACCCGGAUUAAACUCCGGUUUAAUCCGGUUUAUCUUUUGAACGUUUUUCUUGCCUCCUUUUACUUUUAAGGCCAGUGUUUGCCUAGCCCUUGUCUUUUACGGGCAUUUUGAGUGCUGUAACUCCAAUAAACUCUGUUAUCUUUUA
Long non-coding RNA from Anolis carolinensis (green anole), 2900 nucleotides. RefSeq lists it as uncharacterized. The transcript has 2 exons. NCBI's taxonomy places the organism in Eukaryota, Metazoa, Chordata, Lepidosauria, Squamata, Anolidae. The record is from RefSeq and is a predicted model, not a curated record.